Hibiscus syriacus is the source of this 1415-nucleotide long non-coding RNA. RefSeq lists it as uncharacterized. The transcript is spliced from 2 exons. Lineage: Eukaryota; Viridiplantae; Streptophyta; Magnoliopsida; Malvales; Malvaceae. The record is from RefSeq and is a predicted model, not a curated record.
UCGGGGUCCAUCAGGUGCUCUCUGCCCUACUACCUGUAGUUGCCAGGCUUCAGUUUCCAAUCGAUGCAGACGAAGAUCAGCUCGCCGGCCCUCUCCAGUCCUUAAACAGGUUUUCUUUCAUCUAUUAAUCCUUUGAUUUCGUCCUGCUCUUAUUCUCUGAAUCUCUUAUUCUCCUUUUAUUACUUGCUAUUAUUGUUACCCGACCCUCUUAUCGGAAUUAGGGUUUCUUAAUUCCAUUUGCUCACCUGGUCAUUGGUCUCAUUAAAUUAAUGUCAAGUUUGAGGGAUGUUUUGUGUAUUAUGACUAUGGACGAACCUCUUUUUGCUAAAGGGUGCGUAUUUUGUUUACAAUAGCGGUUUUGUCCUUAAAUUAACUGACUCUUAUUCUCAUAUGUAAUGAGAUAAGGGGAGGUAGGAUAGUAGACUGCUCCAAUGGUUGAGAGUAGCUUCUGUAAUAAACCUUCGAAUUAUAAAAUGUCCUUUAUGGGAUUCGAUACCACGACCCAAAAAUAAGAGUUGGAUGUGCGCAUGUAAGACUACUGUUUAUCAAAGUGCUCUUCUUUCUAGCUAACCAUUUAUUUGGUUAGUCCUUCACUUAAUGAUUAUAGAUUUGUGCUUCCGGUUUAUAUUUUUCAUCUCAUUAUGUACAAACGGUAAUGCAAUUUUUUGGUUAUUUGUCAUUAAAUUGUUGGUGGUGGGAUGAGGGAGAAAAAGGAAUCCGUGUAAAAUGUUGUUAUGACUUUUAAAUUGUGGUGCAAACCUUGGGCGCGUGAUGCUUACACUUGAUCUCUGAAAUUCAGGUAAGUUUACCUGUUGAGAAAUAUAUGUACUGAUGCACUUCCGAUUGCACUGCAUUGUACAAAUUAGAAUAGAUCAUUUUCAUUCCCCUUCUAGUCUUUUGUUUUCUUUUUAAAAGAAAAAUAUUCCUUUGAUCUGAUUUGUGCAUUUAGGGUGUCCUGUUGCUUCAAAUUUUGAAGCCAUGGCUUAACCAUUUUUUCCUAAAUGGAAAUAAACGAUGGCUCCAUAUCCCUUCAAGGGAAUCUUUUUCAUCUAUGUUCAUCCUGAUAUGAGUUUAAAUAACUAAUUAAUUCAUCAAAUGAUAGUUAUGACUUUUAAAUUGUGGUGCGAAGCUAGGGCGCAUGAUGCUUACACUUGAUCUCUGAACUUCAGAGUUUGGGAAACAGGGUUGGUAAGGUCUUCACUACAAUGGCAUAUGAAAAUAUGGUAAAUGAAUUGCAUGAAAAGAUUGGGAUACCAAUUGAGAAAGGUCACCUGAAAAAUCGAAUAAAGUCUCUGAAGCAUGACUUUUUCGAGUGUUGUGACCUUUUCAAGUGCAGAAGUGGUUUUGCUUGGAGUCUAGACACUAAAAUGUGGACUGCUAAGCCUGAACAUUGGAAAGCACUAGUGAAGGUUGGU